GAUGAACGCUGGCGGCGUGCCUAAUACAUGCCAGUCGAGCGAACAGACGAGGAGCUUGCUCCUUUGACGUUAGCGGCGGACGGGUGAGUAACACGUGUGUAACCUACCUAUAAGACUGGGAUAACUUCGGGAAACCGGAGCUAAUACCGGAUAAUAUUUCGAACCGCAUGGUUCGAUAGUGAAAGAUGGCUUUGCUAUCACGUCUAGAUGGACCUGCGCCGUAUUAGCUAGUUGGUAAGGUAACGGGUUACCAAGGCAACGAUACGUAGCCGAACGGAGAGGGGGAUCGCCCACACUGGAACUGAGACGCGGUCCAGACUCCUACGGGAGGCAGCAGUAGGGAACCUUCCGCAAUGGGCGAAAGCAUGACGGAGCAACGCCGCGUGAGUGAUGAAGGUCUUGGGAGCGUAAAACUCUGUUAUUAGGGAAGAACAAACGUGUAAGUAACUGUGCACGGAUUGACGGUACCUAAUAAGAAAGCAACGGCUAACUACGUG
This 497-nucleotide ribosomal RNA is filed under the name uncultured bacterium. Its description in RNAcentral is "partial 16S ribosomal RNA". It matches the Rfam family "Bacterial small subunit ribosomal RNA", at positions 28 to 507 of the family's 1533-position model. The record is from RNAcentral.